RNAcentral lists this unclassified non-coding RNA (590 nucleotides) under Hevea brasiliensis (rubber tree). Lineage: Eukaryota; Viridiplantae; Streptophyta; Magnoliopsida; Malpighiales; Euphorbiaceae. The record is from RNAcentral.
AGAUCCAUGUCCUCCUCUGCUAGAAGAAAUAGGGAAGCAUAUUGUACAACAAUGUCAAGGAUUACCUCUCUCGAUUGUUGUGGUUGCCGGACUUCUUGGAAAAAUGGACUUAACGCAUGACAAUUGGAAGAACGUUGAGGAAAAUCUGAGCUCAUUCUUUGGUACAGUAUCUGAACGGUGCCAAUCAAUACUGUCUCUGAGCUACAAUUACUUGCCCCAAUAUUUGAAGGCUUGUUUUCUCUAUGUUGGAGGUUUUCCAGAAGACAGAGAGAUCAAUGUUUCCCAGUUGAUUAGGUUAUGGAUUGCUGAGCAAUUCGUAAAGGCAAGAAAGGAUAAAAGAUUAGAAGUGGUGGGAGAGGAGUAUCUACAAGAGUUAGUUGAUAGAAGUCUAAUUUUGACAGGUAAACAAAGUGCUAAUGGAAGGAUGAGAAGUUGCAAAAUUCAUGAUCUUCUUCGCCAGCUAUGCCUAAGUGAAACUCAUACUGAAAAUGUUGUGCAUGUAAUCAAUGGGAAUGUCGUCGUGUCUUCAGUAGAAGUAAUAGAUGAUCAGCGGCGAGUGAUAGGUCUGCAUAAACAUAAAGAGAAGCAAG